GACGAACGCUGGCGGCGUGCCUAAUACAUGCAAGUUGAGCGCUGAAGGUUGGUACUUGUACCAACUGGAUGAGCAGCGAACGGGUGAGUAACGCGUGGGGAAUCUGCCUUUGAGCGGGGGACAACAUUUGGAAACGAAUGCUAAUACCGCAUAAAAACUUUAAACACAAGUUUUAAGUUUGAAAGAUGCAAUUGCAUCACUCAAAGAUGAUCCCGCGUUGUAUUAGCUAGUUGGUGAGGUAAAGGCUCACCAAGGCGAUGAUACAUAGCCGACCUGAGAGGGUGAUCGGCCACAUUGGGACUGAGACACGGCCCAAACUCCUACGGGAGGCAGCAGUAGGGAAUCUUCGGCAAUAGACGAAAGUCUGACCGAGCAACGCCGCGUGAGUGAAGAAGGUUUUCGGAUCGUAAAACUCUGUUGGUAGAGAAGAACGUUGGUGAGAGCGGAAAGCUCAUCAAGUGACGGUAACUACCCAGAAAGGGACGGCUAACUACGUG
RNAcentral lists this ribosomal RNA (497 nucleotides) under uncultured bacterium. RNAcentral's name for it is "partial 16S ribosomal RNA". It matches the Rfam family "Bacterial small subunit ribosomal RNA", at positions 28 to 507 of the family's 1533-position model. The record is from RNAcentral.